AUGGCGCCCCUUCUCCUCGUGCUGCUGCUGCUCGUCCACCGCGCUGCCGCCGCCGACGAGAGACAGCUUCUCAUCCAGAUCAAGCGCGCGUGGAGCGACCCGCCGGUGCUCGCGGCAUGGAGCACUUCGGGCUCGGGGGACCACUGCGCCUGGCCCUACGUGACCUGCGACACAUCGUCCGGCCGCGUCACGAGCCUCUCCCUCGCCAACAUCAACAUCACCGCCCCGUUCCCGGAUGCCAUCGGUGGCCUCUACGGCCUCACCAGCCUCAACCUCUCAAACAACAACAUCACCGGCGCCUUCCCGACCAGCGUGUACCGUUGCGCUUCGCUGCGGCACCUCGAUUUGCGGAAUCUGGCUAUAUAUGCAAACAACCUCACGGGAGAGGUCGUCGAUGAUGGUCCUUUCGGCGCGGCGAAUUUGGUGAAGAUGGACCUGUCCGAGAAGCCUUCGGUCACUUGCCAAAGCUUGAAAGGUUGA
This 480-nucleotide ribosomal RNA is filed under the name Triticum aestivum (bread wheat). Its description in RNAcentral is "partial small subunit ribosomal RNA". Lineage: Eukaryota; Viridiplantae; Streptophyta; Magnoliopsida; Poales; Poaceae. The record is from RNAcentral.